Molecule: transfer RNA, 87 nt
Filed under: Cordylochernes scorpioides
Lineage: Eukaryota; Metazoa; Arthropoda; Arachnida; Pseudoscorpiones; Chernetidae
Description: tRNA-Tyr
Source: RNAcentral
UCCCUCGAGCCGGAUUUGAACCAGCGACCUAAGGAUCACCGUUGUAACAUCUACAGUCCUCCGCUCUUCCAACUGAGCUAUCGAGGG